Molecule: ribosomal RNA, 497 nt
Filed under: uncultured bacterium
Lineage: Bacteria
Description: partial 16S ribosomal RNA
Rfam family: Bacterial small subunit ribosomal RNA
Source: RNAcentral
GAUGAACGCUGGCGGCGUGCCUAAUACAUGCAAGUCGAGCGAACAGACGAGGGGCUUGCUCCUUUGACGUUAGCGGCGGACGGGAGAGUAACACGUGGAUAACCUACCUAUAAGACGGGGAUAACUUCGGGAAACCGGCGCUAAUACCAGAUGAUCUAUUGAACCGCAUUGUUCAAUAGUAAAAGACUGCUUUGCUGUCUGUUAUCGAUGGCUCAGCGCUGUAUUAGAUAGUUGGUAAGGUAACGGCCUACCAAGGCAACGAUGCGUAGCCGAGGUGAGAGGCGGAUCGCCGACACUGGAAGUGAGACAGGGACCCUGCUACUACGGCACGCAGCAGAAGGGAACGUGCGGCAAUGGGGGAGAGCCUUACGGAGUGACGCAGCGUGUGUGGUGAAGAUCUCGGGAGCGGAACAAUCUGUUAUGAGGGAAGAACAAAUUUGUAAAUAACUAUGCACAACGUGACGGUACCUAAUCAGAAAGCCACGGCUAACUACGUG